Molecule: ribosomal RNA, 431 nt
Filed under: uncultured bacterium
Lineage: Bacteria
Description: partial 16S ribosomal RNA
Rfam family: Bacterial small subunit ribosomal RNA
Source: RNAcentral
AACGAACGCUGGCGGCAGGCCUAACACAUGCAAGUCGAGCGCCCCGCCAGGGGAGCGGCGGACGGGUGAGUACCGCGUGGGAACGUACCCUUUGCUACGGAAUAGCCUCGGGAAACUGGGAGUAAUACCGUAUGUGUCCUUCGGGAGAAAGAUUUAUCGGCAAGGGAUCGGCCCGCGUUGGAUUAGGUAGUUGGUGGGGUAAUGGCCUACCAAGCCGACGAUCCAUAGCUGGUUUGAGAGGAUGAUCAGCCACACUGGGACUGAGACACGGCCCAGACUCCUACGGGAGGCAGCAGUGGGGAAUCUUAGACAAUGGGCGCAAGCCUGAUCGAGCCAUGCCGCGUGAGCGAUGAAGGCCUUAGGGUUGUAAAGCUCUUUCAGGGGGGAAGAUAAUGACUGUACCCCCAGAAGAAGCCCCGGCUAACUCCGUG